AACGUAGGUUCCGAGCGUUAUCCGGAUUUACUGGGCGUAAAGCGUGUUCAGGCGGCUUCGCAAGUCGGGCAUGAAAUCUCUCGGCUCAACCGGGAGGGGCUGUCCGAUACUGCGGGGCUUGAGGGCAGUAGAGGGUGGUGGAAUUCCGGGUGUAGUGGUGAAAUGCGUAGAGAUCCGGAGGAACACCAGAGGCGAAGGCGGCAUUCUGGACGACAUCAGACGCUGAGACGCGACAGCACGGGGAGCGAACGGG
This 253-nucleotide ribosomal RNA is filed under the name uncultured bacterium. RNAcentral describes it as "partial 16S ribosomal RNA". It matches the Rfam family "Bacterial small subunit ribosomal RNA", at positions 524 to 776 of the family's 1533-position model. The record is from RNAcentral.